CCUUAGUACGGCGAGUGAAGCGGCAAAAGCUCAAAUUUGAAAUCUGGUACCUUUGGUGCCCGAGUUGUAAUUUGGAGAGGGCAACUUUGGGACCGUUCCUUGUCUAUGUUCCUUGGAACAGGACGUCAUAGAGGGUGAGAAUCCCGUGUGGCGAGGAGUGCGGUUCUAUGUAAAGUGCCUUCGAAGAGUCGAGUUGUUUGGGAAUGCAGCUCUAAGUGGGUGGUAAAUUCCAUCUAAAGCUAAAUAUUGGCGAGAGACCGAUAGCGAACAAGUACAGUGAUGGAAAGAUGAAAAGAACUUUGAAAAGAGAGUGAAAAAGUACGUGAAAUUGUUGAAAGGGAAGGGCAUUUGAUCAGACAUGGUGUUUUGCGCCCUCUGCUCCUUGUGGGUGGGGGAAUCUCGCAGUUCACUGGGCCAGCAUCAGUUUUGGUGGCAGGAUAAAUCCGUAGGAAUGUAACUUGCUUCGGGAAGUAUUAUAGCCUAUGGGAAUACUGCCAGCUGGGACUGAGGACUGCGACGUAAGUCAAGGAUGCUGGCAUAAUGGUUAUAUGCCGCCCGU
This 559-nucleotide ribosomal RNA is filed under the name Saccharomyces uvarum. RNAcentral describes it as "partial large subunit ribosomal RNA". It matches the Rfam family "Eukaryotic large subunit ribosomal RNA", at positions 78 to 652 of the family's 3401-position model. Lineage: Eukaryota; Fungi; Ascomycota; Saccharomycetes; Saccharomycetales; Saccharomycetaceae. The record is from RNAcentral.